GACGAACGCUGGCGGCGUGCUUAACACAUGCAAGUCGAACGGUGAAGGAAGAGCUUGCUCUUCCGGAUCAGUGGCGAACGGGUGAGUAACACGUGGGGCAACCUGCCCCUGACUCUGGGAUAACUCCUCGAAAGAGUGCUAAUACCGGAUACGACCACUUCGGACAUCCGAUGGUGGUGGAAAGUUUUUCGGUCAGGGAUGGGCCCGCGGCCUAUCAGCUAGUUGGUGGGGUAAUGGCCUACCAAGGCGACGACGGGUAGCCGGCCUGAGAGGGCGACCGGCCACACUGGGACUGAGACACGGCCCAGACUCCUACGGGAGGCAGCAGUGGGGAAUAUUGCGCAAUGGGCAAAGCCUGACGCAGCGACG
This 369-nucleotide ribosomal RNA is filed under the name uncultured bacterium. Its description in RNAcentral is "bacterial SSU rRNA". It matches the Rfam family "Bacterial small subunit ribosomal RNA", at positions 28 to 396 of the family's 1533-position model. The record is from RNAcentral.